CCUACGGGAGGCAGCAGUGGGGAAUAUUGGACAAUGGGGGCAACCCUGAUCCAGCCAUGCCGCGUGUGUGAAGAAGGCCCUCGGGUUGUAAAGCACUUUCAGUGAGGAAGAACGCCUGGUGGUUAAUACCCAUCAGGAAAGACAUCACUCACAGAAGAAGCACCGGCUAACUCCGUGCCAGCAGCCGCGGUAAUACGGAGGGUGCGAGCGUUAAUCGGAAUUACUGGGCGUAAAGCGCGCGUAGGUGGCUUGGUAAGCCGGUUGUGAAAGCCCCGGGCUCAACCUGGGAACGGCAUCCGGAACUGUCAAGCUAGAGUGCAGGAGAGGAAGGUAGAAUUCCCGGUGUAGCGGUGAAAUGCGUAGAGAUCGGGAGGAAUACCAGUGGCGAAGGCGGCCUUCUGGACUGACACUGACACUGAGGUGCGAAAGCGUGGGUAGCAAACAGGAUUAGAUACCCUGGUAGUC
This 465-nucleotide ribosomal RNA is filed under the name Vreelandella stevensii. Its description in RNAcentral is "partial 16S ribosomal RNA". It matches the Rfam family "Bacterial small subunit ribosomal RNA", at positions 338 to 795 of the family's 1533-position model. The record is from RNAcentral. Lineage: Bacteria; Pseudomonadati; Pseudomonadota; Gammaproteobacteria; Oceanospirillales; Halomonadaceae.